Molecule: ribosomal RNA, 484 nt
Filed under: uncultured bacterium
Lineage: Bacteria
Description: partial 16S ribosomal RNA
Rfam family: Bacterial small subunit ribosomal RNA
Source: RNAcentral
AGUGAACGCUGGCGGCAGGCCUAACACAUGCAAGUCGAGCGGCAGCGGGUCCUUCGGGAUGCCGGCGAGCGGCGGACGGGUGAGGAAUACAUCGGAAUCUGCCCUGUCGUGGGGGAUAACCUAUGGAAACUUAGGCUAAUACCGCAUACGACCUACGGGUGAAAGCUUGGGAUCUCAAGACCUCGCGCGACAGGAUGAGCCGAUGUCCGUUUAGCUAGUUGGCGGGGUAAAGGCCCACCAAGGCGACGAUCGGUAGCUGGUCUGAGAGGAUGAUCAGCCACACUGGGACUGAGACACGGCACAGAAUCCUACGGGAGGCAGCAGAGGGGAAUAUUGGACAAUGGGCGCAAGCAUGAUACAGCAAAGCCGCGUGGGUGAAGAAGGACUUCGGGUUGUAAAGAACUUUUGUCAGGGAAGAAAACGAAUGGGAUAAUAACACGGGCGGAUGACGGUACCGGAAGAAUAAGCACCGGCUAACUUCGUG